RNAcentral lists this transfer RNA (94 nucleotides) under Aspergillus sydowii CBS 593.65. It matches the Rfam family "tRNA". From Rfam's summary of the family: Transfer RNA (tRNA) molecules are approximately 80 nucleotides in length. Lineage: Eukaryota; Fungi; Ascomycota; Eurotiomycetes; Eurotiales; Aspergillaceae. The record is from Rfam by way of RNAcentral.
AGUCGCGUGGUCUAGUUGGUUAAGACGCUCCGCUCACAGUGUUAUCCGGACAUCGGUUCCGGAGAGGUCCCCGGUUCGAACCCGGGCGCGACUA